UUAAGCGACUAAGCGUACACGGUGGAUGCCCUGGCAGUCAGAGGCGAUGAAGGACGUGCUAAUCUGCGAUAAGCGUCGGUAAGGUGAUAUGAACCGUUAUAACCGGCGAUUUCCGAAUGGGGAAACCCAGUGUGAUUCGUCACACUAUCAUUAACUGAAUCCAUAGGUUAAUGAGGCGAACCGGGGGAACUGAAACAUCUAAGUACCCCGAGGAAAAGAAAUCAACCGAGAUUCCCCAGUAGCGGCGAGCGAACGGGGAGGAGCCCAGAGCCUGAAUCAGUGUGUGUGUUAGUGGAAGCGUCUGGAAAGGCGCGCGAUACAGGGUGACAGCCCCGUACACAAAAAUGCACAUGCUGUGAGCUCGAUGAGUAGGGCGGGACACGUGGUAUCCUGUCUGAAUAUGGGGGGACCAUCCUCCAAGGCUAAAUACUCCUGACUGACCGAUAGUGAACCAGUACCGUGAGGGAAAGGCGAAAAGAACCCCGGCGAGGGGAGUGAAAAAGAACCUGAAACCGUGUACGUACAAGCAGUGGGAGCACGCUUAGGCGUGUGACUGCGUACCUUUUGUAUAAUGGGUCAGCGACUUAUAUUCUGUAGCAAGGUUAACCGAAUAGGGGAGCCGAAGGGAAACCGAGUCUUAACUGGGCGUUAAGUUGCAGGGUAUAGACCCGAAACCCGGUGAUCUAGCCAUGGGCAGGUUGAAGGUUGGGUAACACUAACUGGAGGACCGAACCGACUAAUGUUGAAAAAUUAGCGGAUGACUUGUGGCUGGGGGUGAAAGGCCAAUCAAACCGGGAGAUAGCUGGUUCUCCCCGAAAGCUAUUUAGGUAGCGCCUCGUGAAUUCAUCUCCGGGGGUAGAGCACUGUUUCGGCAAGGGGGUCAUCCCGACUUACCAACCCGAUGCAAACUGCGAAUACCGGAGAAUGUUAUCACGGGAGACACACGGCGGGUGCUAACGUCCGUCGUGAAGAGGGAAACAACCCAGACCGCCAGCUAAGGUCCCAAAGUCAUGGUUAAGUGGGAAACGAUGUGGGAAGGCCCAGACAGCCAGGAUGUUGGCUUAGAAGCAGCCAUCAUUUAAAGAAAGCGUAAUAGCUCACUGGUCGAGUCGGCCUGCGCGGAAGAUGUAACGGGGCUAAACCAUGCACCGAAGCUGCGGCAGCGACGCUUAUGCGUUGUUGGGUAGGGGAGCGUUCUGUAAGCCUGCGAAGGUGUGCUGUGAGGCAUGCUGGAGGUAUCAGAAGUGCGAAUGCUGACAUAAGUAACGAUAAAGCGGGUGAAAAGCCCGCUCGCCGGAAGACCAAGGGUUCCUGUCCAACGUUAAUCGGGGCAGGGUGAGUCGACCCCUAAGGCGAGGCCGAAAGGCGUAGUCGAUGGGAAACAGGUUAAUAUUCCUGUACUUGGUGUUACUGCGAAGGGGGGACGGAGAAGGCUAUGUUGGCCGGGCGACGGUUGUCCCGGUUUAAGCGUGUAGGCUGGUUUUCCAGGCAAAUCCGGAAAAUCAAGGCUGAGGCGUGAUGACGAGGCACUACGGUGCUGAAGCAACAAAUGCCCUGCUUCCAGGAAAAGCCUCUAAGCAUCAGGUAACAUCAAAUCGUACCCCAAACCGACACAGGUGGUCAGGUAGAGAAUACCAAGGCGCUUGAGAGAACUCGGGUGAAGGAACUAGGCAAAAUGGUGCCGUAACUUCGGGAGAAGGCACGCUGAUAUGUAGGUGAAGCGACUUGCUCGUGGAGCUGAAAUCAGUCGAAGAUACCAGCUGGCUGCAACUGUUUAUUAAAAACACAGCACUGUGCAAACACGAAAGUGGACGUAUACGGUGUGACGCCUGCCCGGUGCCGGAAGGUUAAUUGAUGGGGUCAGCGCAAGCGAAGCUCUUGAUCGAAGCCCCGGUAAACGGCGGCCGUAACUAUAACGGUCCUAAGGUAGCGAAAUUCCUUGUCGGGUAAGUUCCGACCUGCACGAAUGGCGUAAUGAUGGCCAGGCUGUCUCCACCCGAGACUCAGUGAAAUUGAACUCGCUGUGAAGAUGCAGUGUACCCGCGGCAAGACGGAAAGACCCCGUGAACCUUUACUAUAGCUUGACACUGAACAUUGAGCCUUGAUGUGUAGGAUAGGUGGGAGGCUUUGAAGUGUGGACGCCAGUCUGCAUGGAGCCGACCUUGAAAUACCACCCUUUAAUGUUUGAUGUUCUAACGUUGACCCGUAAUCCGGGUUGCGGACAGUGUCUGGUGGGUAGUUUGACUGGGGCGGUCUCCUCCUAAAGAGUAACGGAGGAGCACGAAGGUUGGCUAAUCCUGGUCGGACAUCAGGAGGUUAGUGCAAUGGCAUAAGCCAGCUUGACUGCGAGCGUGACGGCGCGAGCAGGUGCGAAAGCAGGUCAUAGUGAUCCGGUGGUUCUGAAUGGAAGGGCCAUCGCUCAACGGAUAAAAGGUACUCCGGGGAUAACAGGCUGAUACCGCCCAAGAGUUCAUAUCGACGGCGGUGUUUGGCACCUCGAUGUCGGCUCAUCACAUCCUGGGGCUGAAGUAGGUCCCAAGGGUAUGGCUGUUCGCCAUUUAAAGUGGUACGCGAGCUGGGUUUAGAACGUCGUGAGACAGUUCGGUCCCUAUCUGCCGUGGGCGCUGGAGAACUGAGGGGGGCUGCUCCUAGUACGAGAGGACCGGAGUGGACGCAUCACUGGUGUUCGGGUUGUCAUGCCAAUGGCACUGCCCGGUAGCUAAAUGCGGAAGAGAUAAGUGCUGAAAGCAUCUAAGCACGAAACUUGCCCCGAGAUGAGUUCUCCCUGACCCUUUAAGGGUCCUGAAGGAACGUUGAAGACGACGACGUUGAUAGGCCGGGUGUGUAAGCGCAGCGAUGCGUUGAGCUAACCGGUACUAAUGAACCGUGAGGCUUAACCUU
This 2901-nucleotide ribosomal RNA is filed under the name Escherichia coli. Its description in RNAcentral is "bacterial LSU rRNA". It matches the Rfam family "Bacterial large subunit ribosomal RNA". The record is from RNAcentral. Lineage: Bacteria; Pseudomonadati; Pseudomonadota; Gammaproteobacteria; Enterobacterales; Enterobacteriaceae.